CCCGCUGAACUUAAGCAUAUCAGUAAGCGGAGGAAAAGAAACUAACAAGGAUUCCCCUAGUAACGGCGAGUGAAGCGGGAAAAGCUCAAAUUUAAAAUCUGGCAUCCUCUGGGUGUCCGAGUUGUAGUCUAGAGAGGCGCUUUCUGUGCUGGACCGUGUAAAAGUCUCUUGGAAUAGAGCAUCAUAGAGGGUGAGAAUCCCGUCUUUGACACGGACUACCAAUGCUUUGUGAUGCGCUCUCAAAGAGUCGAGUUGUUUGGGAAUGCAGCUCAAAAUGGGUGGUAAAUUCCAUCUAAAGCUAAAUAUAGGCGAGAGACCGAUAGCGAACAAGUACCGUGAGGGAAAGAUGAAAAGCACUUUGGAAAGAGAGUUAAACAGUACGUGAAAUUGCUGAAAGGGAAACGCUUGAAGUCAGUCGUGUCUGCCAGGACUCAGCCUUGCUUCUGCUUGGUGUACUUUCUGGUCGGAUGGGCCAACAUCAAUUUUGACCGUUGGAGAAAGGCUUUGGGAAUGUGGCACCUUCGGGUGUGUUAUAGCCCUUGGUCGUAUACAACGGUUGGGAUUGAGGACUGCAGCACGCCUUUAUGGCCGGGGUUCGCCCACGUACGUGCUUAGGAUGUUGGCAUAAUGGCUUUAAGCGACCCGUCUUGAAACACGG
This 658-nucleotide ribosomal RNA is filed under the name uncultured fungus. RNAcentral's name for it is "eukaryotic LSU rRNA". It matches the Rfam family "Eukaryotic large subunit ribosomal RNA", at positions 24 to 664 of the family's 3401-position model. Lineage: Eukaryota; Fungi. The record is from RNAcentral.